GCCACUGAUGACCAGUACAAUGUGUAUGACAAGGGCCUGUUUACUGCUCAGCCCACACUUUCAACCCUAUAUAGGCCCAAGAAAGAUGCAGAUGAUGACAUGUAUGGAGGAAACGCAGAUGAACAGAUGGAGAAGAUUAUGAAGACUGAUCGGUUCAAACCUGACAAGGGAUUUGCUGGUAGUUCUGAGAGGUCUGGUCCUAGAGACAGACCAGUCGAGUUUGAGAAGGAGGCUGAAGA
This 239-nucleotide long non-coding RNA is filed under the name Citrus maxima (pomelo). Its description in RNAcentral is "long non-coding RNA (CMAX_LNC002815)". Lineage: Eukaryota; Viridiplantae; Streptophyta; Magnoliopsida; Sapindales; Rutaceae. The record is from RNAcentral.